AGUAACACGUGAGCAACCUACCCUAAAGUUCGGGAUAGCCCGCCGAAAGGCGGAUUAAUACCGAAUGUGGUUCUCCUUCGCAUGUUGGAGAUACUAAAGCUUGUAAUGGCGCUUUUGGAGGGGCUCGCGGUCUAUCAGCUUGUUGGUGAGGUAACGGCUCACCAAGGCUUAGACGGAUAGCUGGUCUGAGAGGAUGAUCAGCCACACUGGAACUGAGACACGGUCCAG
This 228-nucleotide ribosomal RNA is filed under the name uncultured bacterium. Its description in RNAcentral is "partial 16S ribosomal RNA". It matches the Rfam family "Bacterial small subunit ribosomal RNA", at positions 109 to 334 of the family's 1533-position model. The record is from RNAcentral.